UUAUAGUAUCAUAAAUAACACUAUACACUUUUCUAUGCACAUUAUAAUUUAUACACUACAGUAUCUUUCACUAAAAAUGUAUUCCAAUACAUUUUUUAAAAUAUGAAACCUCGCAUGUAUGUGCGGGUCAGAAUCAUAUCUAUACUAUUAACAAAAAUUCUUUCUAAUGCCUUUUUCACACUACCCCUUUUCAAUUCUACCAUUUUCUAUUUACCAUUUUUAUUUAUACCCUAUUUAAAUUUUUAAUGACCAUUUUACCCCUAUUUGUAAAUUGAUUUAGGUUAACAAAAUGAAAUAUUAAUAUUUUUUGCCUAAAUUAUUCCAAAAUAAAAUUUCCCGCCAAAAUUUUCGAAAAA
RNAcentral lists this small RNA (356 nucleotides) under Arabidopsis thaliana (thale cress). Its description in RNAcentral is "ATSL087590". The record is from RNAcentral. Lineage: Eukaryota; Viridiplantae; Streptophyta; Magnoliopsida; Brassicales; Brassicaceae.